AGUAAAGUCAGCUAAACAAGCUUUCGGGUCCAUACCCCGAACAUGACGGUGAAAACCCCUCCUUUACUA
Molecule: transfer RNA, 69 nt
Filed under: Quintana atrizona
Lineage: Eukaryota; Metazoa; Chordata; Actinopteri; Cyprinodontiformes; Poeciliidae
Description: tRNA-Met
Source: RNAcentral